RNAcentral lists this unclassified non-coding RNA (1949 nucleotides) under Leishmania donovani. RNAcentral describes it as "gene:LdHU3.26.1890(CDS-product:Alpha/beta_hydrola se_family_putative)". The record is from RNAcentral. Lineage: Eukaryota; Euglenozoa; Kinetoplastea; Trypanosomatida; Trypanosomatidae.
ACUCACUGAGACCAGUGGCGCCGUGGUAUGUGCUGCGUGCCUGCUGCCAACGCGCUGCGCCUCAUCCGUGCUACAAGCUCACACACGGAAAGUCACAGGGUCCUCGGUCUCACGACCUGCUGUGUCGCCCUCAUCUCUUAUCUGCCCCCCGCCCUCUCCGCCGUCGCGAACGGUAUCCGCUGCUUCUAGCCUGCACUCGCUGCUUCAAGUAAUGGCAGCCGUCCCGCUGCAUGCUGUUCAGACCCCCUCUAAGGUCCUCCUGCCGGGCUUCGUGAGGAAAGCGGCGCCGGUCUUCUUUGUGGUGAUGCAUGGCUUCUUGGCCCACAGCGGCGCGAUGAACUCUUUUGUUGUCAUCCUGCGCAGCGCCCUCGACGCGCACAAUCGCGCUGUGCUGGAAUCGAACGACCAGACUUCAGUGGCGCUGCCGUUCCACAUCACCACGCUCGACGCGCGCAACCACGGCCUGUCGCCGCACACCUCGACACACAGCUCGGAGAACCUCGUGGAGGAUCUCAGCUACUACCUGGACCACGACUUUCCACGCACAGUGUCUCGUGUCUCAGAGGCAUGGAUGCGGGACGGCAGCGAUCACAGCUACGGCGACGUGGCUUGCCCGCGCGUCGUAGCGAUUGGCCAUAGCAUGGGCAGCCUUACAUGGACGCAAUACCUCAUGGACCGCUACUUCCCUUCCCUAGCGAGCAACGAAAAAGUUCAAGGGUCAGAAUUAUCGUCAACUACAGCGACAUCGACGUCGAGCAAUGUCUCCUCCUCUGCGCGAUCUUCUCUUGACGUGAAAGGGCUUGUGAGUCUUGACUUACCGCCUAUCGUGCGCUCAAACAUGACAGCAAAUCUGACCGGUGAGCUCAUCGGCAUCAUCGAGCAUAUGAAGGCUGUGAAUCUGAGCGCAAUCUCUGACCUUCGGAGUGGGCAAGAGGAGUUCUACCGCUGUGGCAUGCACGAUAUCCGUGUGCGGGGACUAUGUACGACGAACUUGGCGCUGCAACGCGACCCCAACGAUCCCACGCGACGCAUUGCGAGUUGGAAAUGCAACGUGCCCGUGCUUGAGCACUCCAUCCGCUCUGGUGAGCUUUUCUUACCCGAUUUGUACUACAAGCCAGCCGGAGGCGGAAAAGGCUCCGUUGGCACGCAUGAUUCACAGGAACAGAAGCAGAGGCGGCACCGGUUAGCGCUGGAGUAUCCCUCGGUCGGCACGGUUCCAGUGUUGUCGGUGCUCGGAGCUGCCAGCCCAGUGGGAGGCGACCCGCAGUAUCAGCAGCUAUGGGAGCGCUACGCCAUCGACCUGCGGCAGCACUCCAUUCCGCAUGCGACGCACACGGUGUACUUCGACAAGCCCCACAAGACUGUAGAGCUCGUAACGAACUUUUUGAAAGAGAUUCAUGUAGACCAGCCCCUGUGAGUGUGUGUAUGUGUGUGUGUGUGUGUGUGGAAGCAAAAAAAAAACGUGUAUGGGAACGCGUCGUCUUCCAGUAAAGGCGAACCGAAAGCAAGCGUGGCUGCUCCUUAGUAUAAGAGCUAGAGAGAGAGGCGGUGGUGGUGGCGGCACGCCAGAGAAACAAGGAAGCCGAGGCCCAGUCAUGCUAUCCGCUUACACCGAAGUGCUUCGGUGAGGAAAGGGGUCUGCAGUUCGGCAUUGCGUGUUUCCGACCCCCUCCCACGUCAGCUCUCUCCAUCUCUCUGCUUUCUGUAAUCGCGUUUGAGCUGGCGUGGCAACAAUCACCUGCUCGCCUUCUCCUCUGCGUGUGUGUGCGCACGCCUCUCUCUCUCGUGGUGUCACGCAACGCGCAGGCGCAUGCCCACCUAUGCACAUAUGGGACCUUGUUCUCUCCUUUACGGUCCCCCUCUGUCUUUCGUUCUCCCAUUCGACCUUUCUGGCUGCUCAUGAUCGACGGCAUGUGGGCACACACGCACCCACCAACACGCAUGCACAG